UUAGUUCCCCAACAAUUAGUUGUGAGAAUAAUGACAAUGAAGGCAAAGUGGGCACUGGUUAUGUUUUAGUGAAAGGUGAAUUAUGAGGAGUCAUAUUUGGACAAACCAAAUCCUAGGGAUGGGAGACAAGUGGUGAACCGCAUGUACCAGAUACCGGGGCUUGCUUAAGGCAAUAUAGGGACUUGUGGAGUCGGCAUACAUGAAAAGGUUUGUGGAGCAAAUGAAAGCUAAAGGUUGGUGGUUGUAUACUGUUUCGGUGAAAAGAAUGUAGGGAGAUUGUAAAUGUUGUAGGUUGUGGUUGAUGAAUUCAACACCAUUGUUGCUUUGCAUUCAUUGGAGAGAAGCAUGAAACUGGUUAAGCACAAAGGUGUAAAAGUGUUGCAAAGUAAUACCGAUGACAGACUUGUUAUGUAAUGGAGAAGUUCCGGAAUAGUGUGAGUACUCAUCAAGAAUAAUGACAUAACAUUUAUAACUCGAAAAACUAAAAUAGGAGAAGUCCACAAAUGAGGGUGUAUUAUUUGGAACGAGCGGUAGUAAAAUAAUGGGAUGGAUAAAAAGGCAAGCAUUGUUGUUGUCCAAUUUAGCAAGAAGCACAAACAGGAGAUUGCAGAAUUGUUCUAUUACAUGAUGGAAGAAAAUUUGUAGCUAUUAUAGAAAAAGGAAGCUCGGCCCAGCUGAUCCCCAAGACUCCGUUGCCCCAAAUCGCCGAAGCUAGUUGUACAACAAGCUCUGGCGCAACUUUUAUUCAUCAAGCAGAAGUUGUAGAGGUCGCCUGAGCUAUUUGAUCUCUGGAGGAUUCUCGUUGUUUCUAGGUCCUUGAAAGAGGAACAAUAGGGAUCAGAUUUAGAUGAAAAAUAAUAUCACAAUAACAUUAUGAACAAAUAUUAAGUUCUUGAUAGUAGGUGGGAAACUAAAACAUUAUGAACAAGAAGCAAGAGAAGUGGAUCUAGUAGUUGUGAUGGGGAGCCUCGAACCAUUUCCAACUACAACACUAUGGGAAUUGUGCAUUGAUGGUGAAUAAUAAUUGUCGAGGAUACUUUCAUUCUUCACAAUGUCAGAGGUGGCUCGGUGGAGUUGGGCUGAAUUGAGAAAUGGCUUAUUGGGAUUUUGAUCAUGGAGUAUUGAUCCCACAAUGGAGUAUGCGGGAUGGAAGUAUAGCACCGCUAGGAUUGGGAUGGAGUGCUUGGUUGAGGGAUGGAUGCACCGUCAGAAAUGGGCAGCAUCCAAGCAUCACCUCGUUGUUUCAGAUGAAAAGUCGCCCACCAUGGAGAGAAGUUGCCUGACCAAGGAAACUAGGGCUGGACAUAUUGUUAAUGACUAGUGUAGUUGGGAGCACCAUGUCUAUGAACUAGCCCGUCUAGGUGCACGGGUUGAUGACUAGUGUCUAUGAAUUCUAGUAUUGCUACGUUUACACGAGUUUCUAGUGGGACAGUCGUGAUCCGAGUGACAGUUUUAUCCUGUGCAGUCACUGUUUCGUUCCUUGCUGUGUUGCCCCUCAG
This 1499-nucleotide long non-coding RNA is filed under the name Hordeum vulgare. Its description in RNAcentral is "long non-coding RNA (HVUL_LNC014594)". The record is from RNAcentral. Lineage: Eukaryota; Viridiplantae; Streptophyta; Magnoliopsida; Poales; Poaceae.